AUCAGCUCUGUUAAAAGCUCAAAACAUGACAAAGAUAAUCUCUGACAACAUUAAAUGAUCUGGGCUUGGUCUUGGGCUGACGGGUUUCGAAGGUAUACUUUCAGACAAACGGAAGGCGCUCUCCAGUCUGAUUGUAUGCUUCCUACAGCUUACAGAGCAAGUUUCUGUGUAUAUCAGAUACUGCAUUGGGGAAAAAGAAGAGAGGAAAUCAGUUGAUUUUAGCGGCCUCAACGGCUCUCUGGAUCUUCUUUCAGCUGUUAUUUCAUCGUCGAUUACAUGUUUCAGGGUUUUAGUACUUCGUUCACUAGUGAGGCCUAGUUUGUAUUAAAAAACGCACGAGGCAAAUAAGAAAAAGGAAAAAAGGAGGGAA
Molecule: long non-coding RNA, 370 nt
Organism: Hibiscus syriacus
Lineage: Eukaryota; Viridiplantae; Streptophyta; Magnoliopsida; Malvales; Malvaceae
Exons: 3
Source: RefSeq, a predicted model, not a curated record